ACUAAAAGAGGUGGAAAUUAGGGAGUCCACACGCUUACAGCUUUAGAAGUAGAACACAGCUAAAGUCAAUAGUGAUAGAUACCCAUUGCUAGGGAUAGCAUUGAUAAGGAUAAGAGAUGAGGGGAGUUUCUCUCCCUCCUUUUAGU
Molecule: non-coding RNA, 146 nt
Filed under: unclassified sequences
Description: skipping-rope RNA
Rfam family: skipping-rope RNA
About the family: Firmicutes, Fusobacteria, AlphaProteobacteria, Spirochaetes.
Source: Rfam by way of RNAcentral